This 99-nucleotide non-coding RNA is filed under the name Stenotrophomonas pavanii. Lineage: Bacteria; Pseudomonadati; Pseudomonadota; Gammaproteobacteria; Lysobacterales; Lysobacteraceae. The record is from RNAcentral.
CUUUAUGGCGGGCGGUGCGUGGAGGUGGGUGAAAACCCACCUGCCGGUUAGUGCUUACGCGACCACCGGAUUUCCAGCCACGUACCGUCCGCCGCCUUG